This 443-nucleotide ribosomal RNA is filed under the name uncultured bacterium. RNAcentral's name for it is "partial 16S ribosomal RNA". It matches the Rfam family "Bacterial small subunit ribosomal RNA", at positions 338 to 795 of the family's 1533-position model. The record is from RNAcentral.
CCUACGGGAGGCAGCAGUGGGGGAUAUUGGACAAUGGAGGAAACUCUGACCCAGCAACGCCGCGUGAAUGAUGACGGUCCUCGGAUUGUAAAGUUCUUUUCUAAGGGAAGAAGAAAGUGACGGUACGUUAGGAAUAAGCCUCGGCUAACUGCGUGCCAGCAGCCGCGGGAAUGCGUAGGAGGCAAGCGUUAUCCGGAAUGUCGGGGGGUAAAGGGUGCGGGGGUGGUUCAGCAAGGUAGUAGCGUAAUUCCGGAGCUCAACUUCGGCACUACUACUAAAACUGUUGGACUUGAGUGCAGGAGGGGCAACUGGAAUUUCUAGUGUAGCGGUGGAAUGCGUAGAUAUUAGGAAGAACACCAGUGGCGAAGGCGAGUUGCUGGACUGUAACUGACGCUGAGGCACGAAAGCGUGGGGAGCAAACAGGAUUAGAUACCCCUGUAGUC